This 465-nucleotide ribosomal RNA is filed under the name uncultured bacterium. RNAcentral describes it as "partial 16S ribosomal RNA". It matches the Rfam family "Bacterial small subunit ribosomal RNA", at positions 28 to 507 of the family's 1533-position model. The record is from RNAcentral.
GACGAACGCUGGCGGCGUGCUUAACACAUGCAAGUCGAACGGAAAGGCCCCCUUGUGGGGUACUCGAGUGGCGAACGGGUGAGUAACACGUGAGUAACCUACCCUUGACUUUGGGAUAACUUCAGGAAACUGGGGCUAAUACCGGAUAGGAGCUCCUGCUGCAUGGUGGGGGUUGGAAAGUUUCGGCGGUUGGGGAUGGACUCGCGGCUUAUCAGCUUGUUGGUGGGGUAGUGGCUCACCAAGGCUUUGACGGGUAGCCGGCCUGAGAGGGUGACCGGCCACAUUGGGACUGAGGUACGGACCAGACUCCUACGGGGGGCAGCAGUGGGGAAUAUUGCACAAUGGGCGGAAGCCUGAUGCAGCAACGCCGCGUGCGGAAUGACGGCCUUCGGGUUGUAAACCGCUUUCGCCUGUGACGAAGCGUGAGUGACGGUAAUGGGUAAAGAAGCACCGGCUAACUACGUG